AUACGGAGGUGGCAAGCGUUGUUCGGAUUUAUUGGGUGUAAAGGGUGUGUAGGUGUUCCCGUAAGUCGGGUGUGAAAUCCUUCAGCUUAACUGAAGAAUUGCGCUCGAAACUGCGGGAAUUGAGUGUAUGAGAGGAGAGGGGAAUUCUUGGUGUAAGGGUGAAAUCUGUAGAUAUCAAGAAGAACACCGGCGGCGAAGGCGCCUCUCUGGCAUACAACUGACACUGAAACACGAAAGCGUGGGUAGCAAACAGGAUUAGAUACCCUGGUAGUCCACGCCGUAAACGAUGUGCACUAGGUGUGCCCUGUCAAAGGGGCGUGCCGCAGCUAACGCAUUAAGUGCACCACCUGGGGAGUACGUCGGCAACGAUGAA
This 373-nucleotide ribosomal RNA is filed under the name uncultured bacterium. Its description in RNAcentral is "bacterial SSU rRNA". It matches the Rfam family "Bacterial small subunit ribosomal RNA", at positions 523 to 898 of the family's 1533-position model. The record is from RNAcentral.